ACGCUGGCGGCGUGCUUAACACAUGCAAGUCGAACGAGAGCGUAGAGAAAGCUUGCUUUUUCUACAAUCUAGUGGCAAACGGGUGAGUAACGCGUAAACAACCUGCCCUACGGAUGGGGACAACAGCUGGAAACGGCUGCUAAUACCGAAUACGUUCCGAAAGUCGCAUGACUGUCGGAAGAAAGGAUGGCCUCUAUUUAUAAGCUAUCGCCGGAGGAGGGGUUUGCGUCUGAUUAGCUAGUUGGAGGGGUAACGGCCCACCAAGGCGACGAUCAGUAGCCGGUCUGAGAGGAUGAACGGCCACAUUGGAACUGAGACACGGUCCAGACUCCUACGGGAGGCAGCAGUGGGGAAUCUUCCGCAAUGGGCGAAAGCCUGACGGAGCAACGCCGCGUGAGUGAAGACGGCCUUCGGGUUGUAAAGCUCUGUUAUACGGGACGAAUAGUCUUGUGGUUAAUACCCAUGAGAAGUGACGGUACCGUAAGAGAAAGCCACGGCUAACUACGUGCCAGCAGCCGCGGUAAUACGUAGGUGGCAAGCGUUGUCCGGAAUUAUUGGGCGUAAAGGGCGCGCAGGCGGCUUCUUAAGUCUGUCUUAAAAGUGCGGGGCUUAACCCCGUGAUGGGAUGGAAACUGGGAAGCUCAGAGUAUCGGAGAGGAAAGCGGAAUUCCUAGUGUAGCGGUGAAAUGCGUAGAUAUUAGGAGGAACACCAGUGGCGAAAGCGGCUUUCUGGACGAAAACUGACGCUGAGGCGCGAAAGCCAGGGGAGCGAACGGGAUUAGAUACCCCGGUAGUCCUGGCCGUAAACGAUGGGUACUAGGUGUAGGAGGUAUCGACCCCUUCUGUGCCGGAGUUAACGCAAUAAGUACCCCGCCUGGGGAGUACGGCCGCAAGGUUGAAACUCAAAGGGAAUUGACGGGGGCCCGCACAAGCGG
Molecule: ribosomal RNA, 935 nt
Filed under: uncultured bacterium
Lineage: Bacteria
Description: bacterial SSU rRNA
Rfam family: Bacterial small subunit ribosomal RNA
Source: RNAcentral